Molecule: long non-coding RNA, 2194 nt
Organism: Physeter macrocephalus (sperm whale)
Lineage: Eukaryota; Metazoa; Chordata; Mammalia; Artiodactyla; Physeteridae
Exons: 2
Source: RefSeq, a predicted model, not a curated record
GCAACCUCUCGCCGGCAGCUGCUCCGCGCGGAGUGGGAGACGGAGCCGGAGCCUGAGUGCGAGACGGGCUGAGACGGCUGUGAGGCGGCCCCGCCCCGGGGCUCCAUUGUUGCGGCGACUCCGGCUCUGCGGGCUGCUCGGCUCCGUCUCGCUCGGCCAGGGCACCUCCGGCAAGGAGUGAGCGCUGCCCGGGAGGCGGCCUGAGCGCAGAAAAAGGUGCCAUCUCUGCGCCAUUAAUUUCUACGAGUCCUGCGUUUAGUUUUGGACGUGCGGCAGAUUUGGGCAGCCUGGGCUGUGAGAGAGGAGCCUGCAUCUCCCGCCAGCGGGCCUCCCGUCAGGCGCGGCGCAGAGGAGUGUCACCAGACGGGGUCCCCGAGCCUCCAGCUGCACAAAGACGGCUGCCACCAGCGCCGAGAGACGUUUCACCUGAAAAGACAAGACCCAGGAUAUUUCGUGUGUCCCCCGAAUGGGAUAACCUCCCGGAACGGAAGGGUUUCUACUGAUUCCCACCCUGCCUCCUUCCCGAGACCGGACCAUCCUUCAUAGCACAGCAGGAGGCAUUUCUGAGGCCCCUGAAAUACUGGCCAUCUGUCAGCAUCCAUUGGGCCUUAGGGAGGGUGGCCAGCAUCACAGGCCCUGUCGGACUGGGGCUGGCGUUCCGGCUCUGCCACCCAGUCACCAACAGGGUGGAAUCUUGGGCUUGUCCCUUAACCUUCCAUGAGCCGCUUCCAUAGGAGGGCAGUGCAGUACCUGUCGCCAGAGGAAAAGGCCAGGAUGGCCGGGCUGCCUCUCUGAGGGAAGCAGUGGACGUCGUGGGGGGGCGUCGGUGAGCACUGAAUGGAACGAGGCAGACUGGCCCUGUCGAUAGUAGUUACAGCCUUUCCUCGUGAGGAAGCUGAUGAGGGGUUCUCCUGGCCAGGCCACCUCGAGGCAGGAGCCGGUGAAAGAGCUUAGAAGAAGGUGACUUUGGGGAGAGCCUGUGGAGGAACGAAGGGGGUUUGUUACUAUAAAUAGGUGAAGGUUGGGCUCUUCACUAGCAGCCAGAUGCCUGCUUUAUCUCGGGACUCCCUGAGUCGUGCACAGCAGAGCUGGGGGACUGUGUCACAGCGGGAUUGGUGGCAAUUUCAGUUGAGCUAAAGCUGCCGGUCGAAAAAUGCAUCAGUAUGACGUGAGAAAGCUUGGACUGCAAAGCAGAGCUGAGUCCACGUUCUGGGUCUGGAACUUGAACUGUGACUUCGUAGGUAAAGGGAGGUCCACAGAGCCCAAACGUUUUGUAUCAUGACAGCAAGAAAGGGCUUACUUACUUGUGGGACCUUCCCGGACCAGAGCUCAAACCCGUGUCCCCUGCAUUGGCAGGCGAAUUCUUAACCACCGCGCCCCCAGGGAAGCCCCUAGAGCAGCCCUAUUACUGUGACUGUUUUACAGUGAGGAAACUGAGGCACAGAGAGGUUGGGGGCCUUGUCCAACAUCACACAGCCAGGAAGUGUUGGAGUUGGGGUGUGAGCCCAGGCAGCCUGGCUCCAGAGCUCCGAGCGAUCAUUCUAGAUUGCCCAUGGAAACCUCAUGCUCGCAAACCUUGCCUCCAGCGAGAGUCCACGUGAUAUUUGUCAAAGUGGUGUGUCUACCUGAGGUUUCUUUACCUCUUUAAGCCUGAACCUAAAUCUUGGAAUGGUUCUUAACACUGGCUGGGACCCCUUGAGGACUGAACAGAGGUACUCUUCAGGUUAGUCUAGCUGGUUGGAAGGUGGAGGGAGAAGGGGUAAGAUUGCCAGAGAAAAAAAGGCCAAGGUGGCUGGGCUCACUCCUCUGACGGAGAGGCCCUGGAGCAGCCUCAUGACCUGGACCACUUGGACAGAAGAGGAAGAAGGAUACCUUUACCCGUGAUGGGUGACCUUGACUGCACGAGCAACCUGUGUGCUGCUCCUUUUCCUGGAGCAGAUGAUACGAGGUGCCAAUAAACCCAACUUCUGACCCUGCCAGGGCAGGGCAGGUAUUUGUCCAGCCCCCUGUGAACAUAAGUAAUGUUCUCACCUCACAGCCAGCCCAGUGUUCCAGAACCGCUUUCUUUUUUUCUUUGGACAAAAGUUCAGUUUGCCUAAUAGGUCCCUUUCUGCUUAUAACAGUGUCAUAGAUUAAAGUUUUGUUUUUGGUUCUGAAGUGGAUUUAGAGUUAAUAAAGUCUGCUAAAAAUACAA